UCCGGCGUUUGGCGGGGUCUUUGUCUCUCGCUGGCGCUGGCACAGGAGCUUGGGAUCCGUCUCCUCUUUCGCCUCCUCCACCUUGGGAGCCCCGGGCUACUCUCUCACAGCCCCUGUUGCUCUGUGCUGUGUAGGUCCUUGGGGACGCACAGUUAAGGUGCCAGGACAUCAUGGAAGCUGGGAAAUGAUUUCUUCUAGACCAUGGCUGGAGAAGUAAAGAAGGUGGGUUUUGCCUGAUUCAGGGACUAUAGAGAGAACCAAGUUCUGCUGGCCUGUCAGCUGUCUCAGGUGAGUAUGAAUUCUCUUGUGUUUUUGGCAGAUAGUUGCAGUGGCAGGACCAAGGUCAAACGAGUUAUAGGCAAGUCUACAGUAAGAUGUGGCAGUAUUCGGUUUUGAAGCCGGGACCAUGAUUGGCAAGCUUGCCACUUGGUCAAGUGGUUACCCUCUGAAGAUGUGUUCCUUGGUCUUUGCCUCCAGCUGGGUGUCACAUACUCUGAACUGGAUUCCAAAGCUUUCAUGAAAGCACUUAUGUUUGCUGUGGCAGCUGCAUUAUGUUGUGGGGGAUGUGCACGCAGAACCACCCAUUCUGUCAUGCUGCUUAUGUUACUCUCGUUUAUAUUUCACUUUUUGAAAUGAAUGUCAAGCUGGUGAUUUUUAGAUUCAAAAAUUCUAAAAUAAAUUGCUCAAAUUUACACAUUAUGUAAGCUAUUAAUAAAAUUUCUUGUAGGUGCAACAUAUUUAUUAAAAUUUUUGGUUGUAAUUUCAAGCUCACUGCAGGCAGAAAGGAAUCAUUAACAUUUAUAUUCUUUUUUUUAGUCUGUAUCUAAAUGAUGGUAUAUUUUCAUUCCAGAUAUUUACUUUAUACUUCAGUAAUGCUCAGCGUAUUUUGCAAAAUUUUUGUUGUUCUUUUAUUUCGAAACAUAAGGCUUUUUUAGCUCCUGAAAGCUAUAUUAUAGUCAUAUAGUUUUAUUAUAUUUUGUGGUAAGAAGAGCAGAAAUAUAUUGAGGACAUAAUUAAAUUCUCCUAUCUUUUUAAUGAUUAUUAAUUAAAUUCAUCUCUUUAGAGCCUGUUAUUAAUGAUUGUAAUGUAUUUUCUGUAUAAUUUUACUGCAAUUUAUUAAAUUCCAAUGACUUAAAAUGUCUGCUUUUCAUGAGUGCACGCAGUUGAAUGGUGUAGAUAUCUAAAGAGUCAUUUUUUGGCCGGGUGUGAUCACUCAUGCCUGUAUUCCCAGCACUUUGGGAGGCCGAGGAGGGUGGAUCACGAGGUCAGGAGAUCAAGACAAUCCUGACUAACAUGGUGAAACCCCGUCUCUACUAAAUACACAAAAAAUUAGCUGGGCAUAGUGGCGGGCGCCUGUAUUCACAGUAACUCGGGAGGCUGAGGCACGAGAAUGGCGUGAACCCAUUGGGCAGAGCCAAGAUCACGCCACUGCACUCCAGCCUGGGCGACAGAGCAAGACUCUGUCCUAAAAAAAAAAAAAAAAAAAAAAAAAAAAUUUUUUUCUUUUAAAUCUAUGAUGUAUUCAGGAUUUUAUGUAUUAAAAUCUCUUUUCUUAUGAUCAA
Molecule: long non-coding RNA, 1562 nt
Organism: Pongo pygmaeus (Bornean orangutan)
Lineage: Eukaryota; Metazoa; Chordata; Mammalia; Primates; Hominidae
Exons: 2
Source: RefSeq, a predicted model, not a curated record